This 254-nucleotide ribosomal RNA is filed under the name uncultured bacterium. RNAcentral describes it as "partial 16S ribosomal RNA". It matches the Rfam family "Bacterial small subunit ribosomal RNA", at positions 524 to 776 of the family's 1533-position model. The record is from RNAcentral.
UACAGAGGUCUCGAGCGUUAGGCGGAAUCACUGGGCUUAAAGCGUGUGUAGGCGGAUCGUUAAGUACCUUGUGAAAUCCCACGGCUUAACCGUGGAACUGCUUGGUAUACUGGCGGUCUUGAGCCAGCUAGGGGCUACCGGAACAAAUGGUGGAGCGGUGAAAUGCGUAGAUAUCAUUUGGAACGCCAAUGGUGAAAACAGGUAGCUGGGGCUGUGCUGACGCUGGAGACACGAAAGCCAGGGGAGCAAACGGG